RNAcentral lists this ribosomal RNA (253 nucleotides) under uncultured bacterium. Its description in RNAcentral is "partial 16S ribosomal RNA". It matches the Rfam family "Bacterial small subunit ribosomal RNA", at positions 524 to 776 of the family's 1533-position model. The record is from RNAcentral.
UACGUAGGCAGCGAGCGUUGUUCGGAGUUACUGGGCGUAAAGAGUGCGUAGGCGGCUUUCUAAGUUUGGUGUGAAAUCUCCCGGCUUAACCGGGAGGGUGGCAUUGAUACUGUAGGGCUUGAGUAAAGUUGAGGUUGGCGGAAUUGACGGUGUAGCGGUGAAAUGCUUAGAUAUCGUCAAGAACACCUAUUGCGAAGGCAGCUAACUAAGCUUUAACUGACGCUGAGGCACGAAAGUGUGGGGAUCAAACAGG